This 499-nucleotide unclassified non-coding RNA is filed under the name Afroscirpoides dioeca. Its description in RNAcentral is "partial external transcribed spacer 1f". The record is from RNAcentral. Lineage: Eukaryota; Viridiplantae; Streptophyta; Magnoliopsida; Poales; Cyperaceae.
UUGUUGACUAGCUUUGCAUGGCAGGCUCCCUGCACUUUUGUGCGGCCAACUGUCAUGGGGCUAUCUCUUCAUUGUCCCUUCGGCUAGUUUUUUUGCUGGUUAGGGAUGCUUGCCAUCGGUUGCCUGUGUUGUUCUACCCCUGCGGGUAGUAGGAUUGUCCCGUUGUUGCUUAUUUAGCCUGCUUUGUUGAAGCAAUUCAGUUGACAGAGCGGCCGAAGGGUCAGCAAAUUCCUUGUGCUGCCAUGUGCUUGUGCCUUGGUAUACUGCAUUUGGAUGUAUGCUGGGUCUCACGGAUGUUGUGCCUAUAGUGAGCUCUACGGGCUUCGUGCUUGUAGAACUUGCGAGGUUGUCCCUACAUUGUUCAUUGCUCUGUUGCUUCACCGACAUGUCGUGUAUUGUGCCAUGUUGGAGUGUUGCUGUUAGGGUGUUGUUCUUUGUGUGUGUGGCAUGCUCUGUGGCGUCGCAUGAGUUGCGAUUGCUGGUUUGCGUUGUCGUAUGG